Molecule: ribosomal RNA, 701 nt
Filed under: Kocuria turfanensis
Lineage: Bacteria; Bacillati; Actinomycetota; Actinomycetes; Micrococcales; Micrococcaceae
Description: bacterial SSU rRNA
Rfam family: Bacterial small subunit ribosomal RNA
Source: RNAcentral
AGCGAACAGGAUUAGAUACCCUGGUAGUCCAUGCCGUAAACGUUGGGCACUAGGUGUGGGGGACAUUCCACGUUCUCCGCGCCGUAGCUAACGCAUUAAGUGCCCCGCCUGGGGAGUACGGCCGCAAGGCUAAAACUCAAAGGAAUUGACGGGGGCCCGCACAAGCGGCGGAGCAUGCGGAUUAAUUUGAUGCAACGCGAAGAACCUUACCAAGGCUUGACAUUCACCGGACUACCUCAGAGAUGGGGUUUCCCUUCGGGGUCGGUGGACAGGUGGUGCAUGGUUGUCGUCAGCUCGUGUCGUGAGAUGUUGGGUUAAGUCCCGCAACGAGCGCAACCCUCGUUCUAUGUUGCCAGCACGUGAUGGUGGGGACUCAUAGGAGACUGCCGGGGUCAACUCGGAGGAAGGUGGGGAUGACGUCAAAUCAUCAUGCCCCUUAUGUCUUGGGCUUCACGCAUGCUACAAUGGCCGGUACAAAGGGUUGCGAUACUGUGAGGUGGAGCUAAUCCCAAAAAACCGGUCUCAGUUCGGAUUGAGGUCUGCAACUUGACCUCAUGAAGUCGGAGUCGCUAGUAAUCGCAGAUCAGCAACGCUGCGGUGAAUACGUUCCCGGGCCUUGUACACACCGCCCGUCAAGUCACGAAAGUUGGUAACACCCGAAGCCGGUGGCCUAACCCCUUGUGGGAGGGAGCCGUCGAAGG